This 515-nucleotide ribosomal RNA is filed under the name uncultured bacterium. Its description in RNAcentral is "partial 16S ribosomal RNA". It matches the Rfam family "Bacterial small subunit ribosomal RNA", at positions 28 to 523 of the family's 1533-position model. The record is from RNAcentral.
GAUGAACGCUGGCGGCGUGCCUAAUACAUGCAAGUCGAGCGAAUGGAUUAAGAGCCUGCUCUUAUGAAGUUAGCGGCGGACGGGUGAGUAACACGCGGGUAACCUGCCCAUAAGACUGGGAUAACUCCGGGAAACCGGGGCUAAUACCGGAUAACACUUUGAACCGCAUGGUUCGAAAUUGAAAGGCGGCUUCGGCUGUCACUCAUGGAUGGACCCGCGUCGCAUUAGCUAGUUGGUGAGGUAACGGCUCACCAAGGCAACGAUGCGUAGCCGGCCUGAGAGGGUGAUCGGCCACACUGGGACUGAGACACGGCCCAGACUCCUACGGGAGGCAGCAGUAGGGAAUCUUCCGCAAUGGACGAAAGUCUGACGGAGCGACGCCGCGUGAGUGAUGAAGGCUUUCGGGUCGUAAAACUCUGUUGUUAGGGAAGAACAAGUGCUAGUUGAAUAAGCUGGCACCUUGACGGUACCUAACCAGAAAGCCACGGCUAACUACGUGCCAGCCGCCGCCGUAA